RNAcentral lists this ribosomal RNA (253 nucleotides) under uncultured bacterium. RNAcentral describes it as "partial 16S ribosomal RNA". It matches the Rfam family "Bacterial small subunit ribosomal RNA", at positions 524 to 776 of the family's 1533-position model. The record is from RNAcentral.
UACGGGGGGGGUAAGCGUUGUUCGGAAUUACUGGGCGUAAAGGGCUCGUAGGCGGCCAACUAAGUCAUACGUGAAAUCCCUCAGCUUAACUGGGGAACUGCGUGUGAUACUGGAUGGCUUGGAUUUGGGAGAGGGAUGCGGAAUUCCAGGUGUAGCGGUGAAAUUCGUAGAUAUCGAGAGGAACACCGGUGGCGAAGGCGGCCAACUGGACUAAUACUGACGCUGAGACUCGAAAGCGUGGGGAGCAAACAGG